This 250-nucleotide ribosomal RNA is filed under the name uncultured prokaryote. RNAcentral's name for it is "partial 16S ribosomal RNA". It matches the Rfam family "Bacterial small subunit ribosomal RNA", at positions 524 to 774 of the family's 1533-position model. The record is from RNAcentral.
UACGUAGGGGGCAAGCGUUAUCCGGAAUUAUUGGGCGUAAAGAGUACGUAGGUGGUUUCCUAAGCGAGGGGUUUAAGGCAACAGCUUAACUGUUGUUCGCCCCCCGAACUGGGUAACUUGAGUGCUGGAGGGGAAAGCGGAAUUCCUAGUGUAGCGGUGAAAUGCGUAAAUAUUAGGAGGAACACCAGUGGCGAAGGCGGCUUUCUGGACAGUAACUGACACUGAGGUACGAAAGUGAGGGGAGCAAACA